This 119-nucleotide ribosomal RNA is filed under the name Anolis carolinensis (green anole). The record is from RNAcentral. Lineage: Eukaryota; Metazoa; Chordata; Lepidosauria; Squamata; Anolidae.
AAAAGUGCCUAAAUGUUCCCAAAGACACCAGAUCCCAUCUUAUCUGGGAAGUUAAGUAGGGUCAGCCCUGUUUAGUACUUGAAUGGUUGACUGCUGGUGAAUAUCGGAUGCUGUCUGUU